AGGUUACUGCUAUCGAGGUUCGACUAAGCCAUGCGAGUCGAAUGUAGCAACACAUGGCGAACUGCUCAGUAACACGUGGACAACCUGCCCUUAGGACGGGGAUAAACCCGGGAAACUGGGUAUAAUACCCGAUAGGUCUCGAUUGCUGGAAUGCAUCGAGAUUUAAAGCUCCGGCGCCUAAGGAUGGGUCUGCGGCCUAUCAGGUAGUAGUGGGUGUAGCGUACCUACUAGCCUACGACGGGUACGGGUUGUGAGAGCAAGAGCCCGGAGAUGGAUUCUGAGACACGAAUCCAGGCCCUACGGGGUGCAGCAGGCGCGAAAACUUUACAAUGCUGGCAACAGCGAUAAGGGAACCUCGAGUGCCAGGUUACAAAUCUGGCUGUCGAGAUGCCUAAAAAGCAUUUCAUAGCAAGGGCCGGGCAAGACCGGUGCCAGCCGCCGCGGUAACACCGGCGGCUCGAGUGGUAACCGUUAUUAUUGGGUCUAACGGGUCUGUAGCCGGCCGGAUAAGUCUCUUGAGAAAUCUGGCAGCUUAACUGUCAGGCUUUCAGGAGAUACUGUCUGGCUCGAGGCCGGGAGAGGUGAGAGGUACUUCAGGGGUAGGGGUGAAAUCCUGUAAUCCCGGUGGGACCACCUAUGGCGAAGGCAUCUCACCAGAACGGGUCCGACAGUGAGGGACGAAAGCUGGGGGAGCAAACCGGAUUAGAUACCCGGGUAGUCCCAGCUGUAAACUAUGUGCGUUAGGUGUGUCAGUGACCACGUGUCACUGAGGUGCCGAAGGGAAACCGUGAAACGCACCGCCUGGGGAGUACGGUCGCAAGGCUGAAACUUAAAGGAAUUGGCGGGGGAGCACCACAACGGGUGGAGCCUGCGGUUUAAUCGGACUCAACGCCGGGAAUCUCACCGGAUAAGACAGCUGAAUGAUAGUCGGGAUGAAGACUCUACUUGACUAGCUGAGAGGAGGUGCAUGGCCGUCGUCAGUUCGUACUGUGAAGCAUCCUGUUUAGUCAGGCAACGAGCGAGACCCACGAGAGCAGUUGCCAGCUUGACCUUUGGGUUGAUGGGGACACUGCUCGGACCGCCUCUGCUAAAGGGGAGGAAGGACUGGGCAACGGUAGGUCAGCAUGCCCCGAAUUAUCCGGGCUACACGCGGGCUACAAUGGACAGGACAAUGGGUUUCGACACCGAGAGGUGAGGAUAAUCUCCUAAACCUGUCCCAAGUUCGGAUUGCGGGUUGUAACUCACCCGCAUGAAGCUGGAAUCCGUAGUAAUCGCGUUUCAACAUACCGCGGUGAAUAUGUCCCUGCUCCU
RNAcentral lists this ribosomal RNA (1311 nucleotides) under uncultured archaeon. Its description in RNAcentral is "bacterial SSU rRNA". It matches the Rfam family "Archaeal small subunit ribosomal RNA", at positions 21 to 1337 of the family's 1478-position model. The record is from RNAcentral.